GAGAAAGCAACAUGGCUAGAAAUAUGAGAGAGCCAACAGGACAAUGAGGCCCUCAAUACAGCAAGAAACCAAAUCCUGCCAACAACCAUUUCUCAGAUUCUGAAGACUCCUCAUGAAUCUGUCAGCCCCCCUCACCCCAGCUCUGGGCCUCUGUGUCACCAGCACUGCCACCUCAUCAUUAUUUUAUUUCAUGCCAAUCACUGGACUAAACACCUUACAGGCUUUAUCACAUUUAAUUCCUUCAACAACACCAAGAGGCACUCACAUCUCUACCCCACCAGCAACCUCUUAGAGGCAGUGAGAACUCUGUUUUAGAAGUGUCAAAUGACUGUGAAUGGUCGAUGCUGAGUUCUUUGGCAACUUCUUGUAUAGUUG
Molecule: long non-coding RNA, 375 nt
Filed under: Pan troglodytes (chimpanzee)
Lineage: Eukaryota; Metazoa; Chordata; Mammalia; Primates; Hominidae
Description: long non-coding RNA NONPTRT013805
Source: RNAcentral